Molecule: non-coding RNA, 5781 nt
Organism: Podarcis muralis (Common wall lizard)
Lineage: Eukaryota; Metazoa; Chordata; Lepidosauria; Squamata; Lacertidae
Source: RefSeq, a predicted model, not a curated record
ACAUCAGCCGCGCGGCGGCCAAUCAGAAUCGGGGGGUGGGGUUACGGAGUCCGCGCAAGCGCACUCCGCUAAAUUUGAGUGAUAGUCCGAGACAGAGAGGCGGGGAUGGGAAAGAAAGUGAGGCUUCUGCGACGCGCAGGCGCAGUAUGCAGUUCCUCGGUUGUGGCGGCGUUAAUGCUGCUCCGCUUAUCCUGGACACAGUUUUUUGGAUAGUGGGAGUUUUGUGCGCGCUGCUCGCCAAGGACCUGCCAGUGCUACGGGGGGGGGGCGCAUAUUUUCGAGGCAGCUUCCCGCUACUUUAUUAAAAAAAAACUUUGCUUUAAGCUUGCAUUAAUUUUUGCAUACCUGCAAGUGCAAUAAAUAAAUAUAUGUUAAAAACGUUUUGGGAAGCAACGAGGGACCGAUCGAGUCGCUGUUGGCGGGAUCGUUCGUAAGGCUUCUGCCGGAGUGGUGGAACCGUUGCACAUGGUGAACCCCGCUGACCUAUGAAGCUGCUCCGUGGUGGGUCUCUCACCCCAGCCUACCUCGCAGGGUUGUUACGGAGAAGAAAACGGGGAUGAGUGCCUGCACCGUGCACCCUAGCAACUUGCAGGAAUGGAAAUAUGUUGAUGUAAUAAAUGAACGAAAGCUCGACUUCGGUUGUCACUGACUGUUCACAUUUUUUAAAAAAAUAGAGCCAUCAAUGAACACCCAUUGGAUAUGGUCACUCAACCAGCUGUGGAUCCAUUCAACAACAAUUAUAAUCCAGCCCACAUUUUACCAUCUUGUCAACAAAGGUACCACAUGAGUUUUUGUCAAAAGUUUUUCUGGAUUAAAAAGAAAAGGAGAUACAAUUUGUCUGGCAUGACUUGGGGAGGGAGAUUCCCUUUUUAUUCACAGUUGAUGGAGACACAAGGAAAACAAGUAAAAACCUGCAGACUCUUUUUUAUUAAAUUCUCCCAUUUCAUCUGUACAGAAAAAAAUGCACAUUAUGUUCAGAAUCUCCGUUAACAAUUCAAAAUUACACAGCAUGAACAUGUAAAAAGAAAGAACAGCCAAGAUUUUGUACAUAGAAAGGAAAAACAAUUUACAAAAAAAACCUUUGUUAAUGUUACAUUUUUUAAAAGGACUAAGGGUCAGCCAACAUUAGCUGUAUCUUCUACCAAUUUACUGUCUCUCCAAAGGGCUGGUUUUGCAAGCUGCAGGAGGGGCACGGAAUACGAACCCUUUUAUGCCACCCUGAGUUGUUCUGUGCACCUGCAUUUUGCUUCUCUCAAACACAAAACACGCCUAUUCUUCAAUCAAACACCACUUAUAUUGAGUUCCAAAGCAUACCUGAAGGGAAAUUGCAGCCUGCCUCUGAUGCAUUUCCAAGAACCUUGAGAUAAGUCUUUUAAUUCUCUUUGCGCCAGCUAGGGAGCCUCUGGAUGUAGGAGUCUGCAAGUGUUGGAGAAGCAGCGCUCCUGAUGCUCAGAAUCUACACAGAAAUGGAACCAAUUAUCAUGCUGGUCACAGCUGUCCAGAAGGACUAGCAAUAUGAGAACAGGUGUCAGCACAAGCCGGGGGCCAGGACAGUGCUGAUACCACAUGCUGGAUGGCACCACUUCCUAAAGACAGUUCCCUCCACCCAGCACUCUUCCAGUUUGUUAGUAUUAAUGCUCUGGAUGCACAUGUAGUGUAUAUGUAGGAAGAGUGUAACCUAUCAAUCCAGUUGUACAAACUAUGAAGCGGAACAGGAUGUGUGAUCCUUCAGUUUUCCAAUUUAACAAGUUCCUUAACUUACUGUGGGACAAGAGAAUACCCUAGGCUACAUCUAAGAGCCACCACUAAGAGCCAAGAAAUCCCUGCUCCUUAGGCUCCACCAGGGCUUUUCUGCACGAACUCUAAUCCUGUUAUGCAUAGAGCAGUGCCCAACCCGCGUACUUCCAUCUCCAAUGCAUCAAACCAGGGGACCUUCCUUGAGAUGAGAGCCAAGAGAGCAGCAUCAGCACAGCUUUAGAUGAGACACAAGGAAGGAGAAGCAGCAGCACAGGGUCCAGAAGCUGGAGGAGCUCGUGUUACAAGACAGUCGAGGCCACAGUGGUGAAGACAGCAAGUACUACAAGUUCAAACAGGGAACCUUAUAGGGAAGAAGCAGAAAAACAAGCUCCCAAUUCCUAAGCACUUUUCAAACAUUCAAACUGCAGCACAGCCCCUUCCAUCUUCCUCAAGCAGUUGCACGUAUUCUGAGGAGGAAGUGACAAGCACAACACUUGCAAUACAAUGCCACUUUAGAUGAAGGAUCAUUUUUGUAAACAGUCGUCCCUCAAAUAAGCCCCAAAGCAGGAAUACUUAGCUGUCAGACUGAAACUGACAGGGUCUGAGGAGACUGCAUGGAGGCUUAGGUGAUGCUGAGACAGAGACCUGCAGUGCUUGGAACUCAAGAGGCUGCUUCUCGUCUCUUUAAAACAAUGGCUCAUUCAAGGUCACUGAGAGAAUGGAGUGACUGGCUGGCUGUAAUGGCUUCGGCAUUCUGUCUCUUCCCAGGCAACUAGUCCCCUUACGUGCAUCUCACACAAGCUCCUCCUCUUCGGUAGCAUCACUAUAUGCCUGCAAAAACCACUGCUGCUGAUUAUGGGAAUUUACUCAGGAGAGCAUUUUUCUUUCAUUAACCAAUGGGGCACUCCCACUAGGAUCGAGGGAAGGCAAUUGUAGUUGGCUGAAGGGAAGCAAUGUAAAGAAUAAUACGUUGUGCAUCUUAUCUGAAUGCAUGUGCUAGCCAGGAUGGUGGGGGCAUCCUCUCCUUUCACAGCAUUUGCUGCAGGGUCACCAUAUGCAAGUGCCAGUUUCUUCCCAACGUUGUGUAGGAUUUGGAAGAUGAUAUGACCAAGGUUAUUCCUGGCCUCCUACAGUAUGAAUGGCAGCUCUAAGCACCCUGCAAUUAAUCUGCUGGCUGCCUCUCUUGCAAGUGACUUGAGUUGCCCUGGGAGCAUCCUCACCAUCGCCACCCCAUUUCAGAGUCAAGGUGGAUUCCUUAGGAUAAAGAAGUCUAUGCCUUGCCUCAGAGUUAAAACACAGAAUAAACACAAUACUGAAGGGCAUCCACGUGUGGGUGAAAGGGAGGGGGGAGGGAAUAGAGGCUUUGGAAUGCACUGAGCACACACUAGUUGGGGAACUAUGGCACACACCCCUUUCCAAUGUCACCAUUCAUAGAUUCAGUAAUAUCAGAAGCAGGGGAAGGAAAUCCAAUCUAGUGGCCACAGUCCAAAAAAAACCUUCAGUACACACAGGCUCGCUCACUGAUCUUUGAUUUCCCUAAUCAUCUCUCCUUAAUUUUGGAGGCCUGAAACAGUCAGUGGGCCUCAGGGGUGGGGUGGGGUGAGAUUCUUGCACAAGCUUUUCCAGUUUGCCAUCCUCAGGAAUACAAAGCCACACUCUGAACGACUUUCCAGUAGGAUGAAAAAUAAAGGUUUCCUAAAGCUAAAAACUUUUGUGCCUUUUACCAACACUUCAAGAGCAGCAGAAAAUAUUCACAGUAGUGGUAUGGCUGAGUGUCCACAUCAUCAUUAAGAUCAGCUGGUCCCAUUGCCAAAAGCCCCUCGCUUUUGUGACAUUAAUGCAGAACGCUGAGAAGUUGACAUCUGACUGAGCAGUUGCAGCAAAGCAGGAAAAGGGGCAGGGAGGGGAAGAAGAUGUUGCACUCAAGCCUUGUGUCGGGCAGACUCAUGAUUUAGCCCUCUAAAGCAUACAGGCAACCAUGUCUAACAGGCUGAUAGAUAUCCUACUAUACACAAGGAGCCUGCACGUGCGUAUUUCCUCUUCUUCGAGUUCCUCCCUGUGCUCUCCAAUCAACAGACAAGGAGCACACUCCUGCUUAUUGCAAACAGGUACUGUAGUACUGUUACUAAAAGCAUCACUUCAGCAAAGAUACCUCUCCCAUCCAACUCUCAGAAAGCUAUCCCCCCUCCCCUCCCCCGUCCUUGCUUAGUGUAGGGAGCCCUGCCAGUUUCCCUACUUCCCAAAUGGCUGAUGAUCUCUUUAGAUGGAUUCUUGACAGCAAGAAAAGUCUUACACCCUCCCUGACAGUUCAGGGAGGAAACUUCAGUAACUUGUAAAUAAGGACCUUAUGGGUCCAACCCCUUUGGGGAGGACCCAAAUCCUCGUUUUCUUCCAAAACCACUGCCUUACUACCCAAGACCACAGCUCCACCGUAGCUUGUCCAAAGGCUUCCCUUGAGAUACAGUAUGGUUUUGCAGGGGGUGCCUGUAAGACCACUGAAGUUUCUUUAAUCUGGUCAAUAUUUUAUUAACCCCAAAGAUUGGAGUGGGGGUGGAGAAGUAUGGAAGGCAUUGCCUUUUGGCAAAAACGGAGGAACAAGCCACAAAAAGAAAAAAAGAAGUACAACAGAAUACAGUAACAAAAGCACAAAAACAGUAGAGAUGAUGACGGGCCUCUGGAGGCAACUCUUGCUGACUGAUUAUGUGCUGGAGAUGCUUGUUCCAGGGUGAGCCAGAUGUCCAAAGCAAGGCCAGCUGUGAAUGGUGGGUGAUGUCCCUUCCCCUCGGUCCUCCUGCCUAAGCCAAGGAGCACAAACACUUCCACACCAAGACCUACUGUCCAACACUAUGUCUGGAACAGAUCUUUAAAAAUUUGCUUUAAAAACCUCUUGAGCUGCAGGUUGUCAGUCUGUCUGGGGAGUGAAGGCAGUUCCGACAGUAUGAGAAAGAGAGAAAGAGAAAGAGAAAAAACUUGUCUACAGGCAGGCAAACAACAGUCGCUAACGACAGGGUAACGAAGCUGCUGGCUGGACCGCCAAGGCUGCACGUGCCAACUCGUUCCGAGGGUGGAGAAGCCAUGGACGAGAUGGGACACUCAGCUGGCACGGGCUGCUGUUCUAAUCUGUUUGUACUCUCCGGAGAGGUGGGAGGGGAGACUAUACAGAGGAGGGCUGUACAAACUGGGCAACGGGCAGGCAGGCAGGCCUUCUUUCCUUCCUUCUUCCCUUUGACUACCAAGGCAGGCUCUACCUGUCCUUCAGCUCUCGUGUCACUCGCUUCGUGAUACGCCCACACAUCAGGCCAAUCAGGAACAGGAUGCAGAUGCCCACACUGAUCACUGAGAGGAUGUAGUUCUUGGAUGGAGAGGUCAUCACUUGCAUGGCAAGAUCAGAAAAGCCUUCCGCUGGGGCAACCUGGCAGGCAAGGAGGAAGAGUCAGCUCCCAAAUCAAUCGUAACAGAUGUCUACAAUGUACAGAUGAAAUUUAGGGGUCAGUGCUUCAAACAAAUCUUCUCUAAAACCACCCGAUUUGUUACAACCCUGUAUAGACCAGAAUAGGGUCGCAGGACCAUACACUGGGCUAGGCCGUUUGUCCAUGUUAUACUGGCGUUCUGCCAGCUCCUUCUCUCAUAGGUGCUUACCUGAACCUUCUUUUCUUCUUCACAGGCUUAAGAAAUUUAAAAUAUAUAUUAAACAGCUUGUAAAUUCUUUCAAAUAAAAAUAAACAACAAAGUAGGGCAGGGAGACGGCAUUUUCAGUAGUGGCACCUGGGUGAUGAAACACACCUCCUAAAGAAGAUCACCUGGCACCAGCUUUGUGAUCUUUUCAGAGCCAGGUGAAGACCUUUCUAUUCACCUAGGGGCCUUUGAAAUAACUUGUUUUAUGGACUAGUCUUCUUGGCUGUAAAAACUGUGUUUUGUGUUUUUAGUUUAAGUUUUAGUUUAUCACUUUAUAUUGUACUUUAAUUGUGCUUGUUUUGGGCAUCAAUCAAAGAUUUUGUGUAAUGGGGUAGCUUUAUAAAUUCCAUUAAUAAAUGAUUUCUUAAA